Long non-coding RNA from Papaver somniferum (opium poppy), 597 nucleotides. RefSeq lists it as uncharacterized. The transcript is spliced from 4 exons. NCBI's taxonomy places the organism in Eukaryota, Viridiplantae, Streptophyta, Magnoliopsida, Ranunculales, Papaveraceae. The record is from RefSeq and is a predicted model, not a curated record.
AUCCGCACGCGGUGCGGUUACGGUUGCGGUUGGGAUUUGAUAACCGCGGAUUACCCGCACCGUAGGACAUAUAGGGAAUUUAGUAAAUGUAUUAAGGACAAUAUGGGAAGUUGGAGUUUGAUAUAUAAACAUCUUUAGCUUUCGGUGAAACCUAAUAGCAUCAGUUUUUUUCGAGAGGAAAAGAGACCUAAUAGUCUCAGAGAAGAGACUUCGAUUCUUCUUCUUCUCUGAGUAAAUUAGUUCUCUCAUUCAUCUUCUUCUCAUCACAGAUUCACAGUAAAUAUCCUUCGAUUCAUCUUCUUCUCAUCACAGUAAAUUAGUUCUCUCAUUCAUUCUUCUUCUCUGAGCAGCAUCAGCAUCAGUAACUGUAGAUCCACGGAUUGGAGAGAAGAAUCUUCAGGAGAACAGUAUUUAAAAUCCUUGGGUAGGUGGUGAAGCUUGUAUUAUCAGUGCUACAAUUGUUUGGAAAGCAUUCCCUUGGUAAGGAGAAUCUGAGAGCAGAUGGCUUCAAGUACUAAGGGACCUUCUAUUCCUGUUGACGAUCCUGAUGAGAGCAUGGCUACAGUUAACCCGGCAACCGUCGAGAGCAUAUCUACA